AUUGAACGCUGGCGGCAUGCCUUACACAUGCAAGUCGAACGGCAGCACGGGUGCUUGCACCUGGUGGCGAGUGGCGAACGGGUGAGUAAUACAUCGGAACAUGUCCUGUAGUGGGGGAUAGCCCGGCGAAAGCCGGAUUAAUACCGCAUACGAUCUACGGAUGAAAGCGGGGGACCUUCGGGCCUCGCGCUAUAGGGUUGGCCGAUGGCUGAUUAGCUAGUUGGUGGGGUAAAGGCCUACCAAGGCGACGAUCAGUAGCUGGUCUGAGAGGACGACCAGCCACACUGGGACUGAGACACGGCCCAGACUCCUACGGGAGGCAGCAGUGGGGAAUUUUGGACAAUGGGCGAAAGCCUGAUCCAGCAAUGCCGCGUGUGUGAAGAAGGCCCUCGGGUUGUAAAGCACUUUUGUCCGGAAAGAAAUCCUUGGCCCUAAUACGGUCGGGGGAUGACGGUACCGGAAGAAUAAGCACCGGCUAACUACGUG
Molecule: ribosomal RNA, 486 nt
Filed under: uncultured bacterium
Lineage: Bacteria
Description: partial 16S ribosomal RNA
Rfam family: Bacterial small subunit ribosomal RNA
Source: RNAcentral